CCAUAACCACAUGAUCAAUGUAUACAUGAAUAAAGAAUAAUACAUAAACAACAUAAGUAGUCUUCAUUCAUCAUCAUUAAUUUAUCUAUGUCCAUCUAUUCCGUCAGUUUUCGGGGCUGCCUAUAACCAAGGGCACGACUAGUAUACCAGAUUGUUAAACUCUGUGCAGAGGUGUACACUUUCAUUAUGAGUCGUCAUUUAACCUUUCGCCCAAGGUAGGUAAUAUCUUAACCCUCUUCCUAGGCAGGUGGACAUGUUUCACUAUGAAGCCUUUUAAAAGUUUCAUCUAACAAGUUAGGGCCAUUAGAUUCACUCGGCAGACAAAUAUAGAACCCCUCUUCCAUGGCACAUAACGCGUAGCCUAUACACAGGGAUAGAGGCCGCACUAUACCCAACGUGUCAAGCCAUUCUUACGUCAUUGAAGAUAACUGCUAACAAGCUAGAAAAAGGUUUUCAUACUGAGCACUUAUAGUUGUACGAAUUGUCCCAGCUUUUGCCAAGGGAUAAGUCCUUAUGGAGGGUCAAGAUGAACUAGCAAAAGCCAGAGCUCUUUUCACCUUUUAUGUUAAUGUUGCUACAAAACAUCUUUUAGUGUUUAUUGCAUAUUAAAAUAUUCCUGUUAUAAGAUCAUGGUCAUAAAUUCAACGUUAGCAAAUACUACCUCAAUGCAUAUCCAAAAAGUAUCAAGGUAUUCAGGAUAUCAAACAUCUAUGAUUUCACUAAGGUCAUCAAGGUGGACACAUGCAUAUGAUAUAUGUAUUAAAAGUGUAUAGGUAACAAGAAUAAUCCCAACUUAUAGUUGCCUUAAAUACAUGUUUUCCACUCAAGGUCAAAUGCUCAUAGAAAUCCUUCGGUCUUCUAUUUUGUAGCUUCUGUCCCCCAACGCCGACAUACAGUCCUCUUUCUACUCGUAGCAAGCACCACGCAUAGGCCAACAUACAAGCAAUAAAAAAAGCAACUAAGAAUAAUAUACCACAUAACAUUAAGCAACAUACUAAAAGAGAACUUCCUGCUAUGGCCAUGAGAGCGCAAAAAAACACCAAGAGCAAGUCUACGGUUAAAAAAACAACUUUAGGGAGUUCUAUAUUAUUUUAUUAUUUCAUAUUAUAAAAGAAAAACCUCCAUGCUUGUUUUAUUUUAACUCGUAAAACUAUAAGAAGCAUAAUAAUUCAGAUUAUAUAAAUCAUAUUUAAAUUUAUAAACCGAGG
Molecule: long non-coding RNA, 1208 nt
Filed under: Sorghum bicolor (sorghum)
Lineage: Eukaryota; Viridiplantae; Streptophyta; Magnoliopsida; Poales; Poaceae
Description: long non-coding RNA (SBIC_LNC002125)
Source: RNAcentral